This is a long non-coding RNA of Cheilinus undulatus (humphead wrasse), 802 nucleotides long. RefSeq lists it as uncharacterized. NCBI's taxonomy places the organism in Eukaryota, Metazoa, Chordata, Actinopteri, Labriformes, Labridae. The transcript is spliced from 2 exons. The record is from RefSeq and is a predicted model, not a curated record.
CAGUCAGGCAGAGGUUUCUCUGAUCUCCAUCCACUUCUCAGCCAUGCGUCCUUGAGAAUGUAAGACUGUUUCUUUGUUUUACUGCAUUUUCUUUACUAUUUUAUGUUAAUUAUACAAAUUGGAACUUGAUUGUUUGACUUAAAGCCUAUGUUAACCUAUUACUUUGUUUUAGUUGACACAGAAACCAUGGUUGGAUGGAAAAUAAAGCCUCAAAAGUGCUUCAAUUGUCAUCGUCUCUUUAAUUUGAGACACUUAGGUGGUCAGCUUUUUAACAAGAACUUAACAAGUUUUAAUAGUCACUCAGGACUGAUUUUUUUUUAUUUUUUUUUAUUUUUUUUUUUUUUAUAAGGGGAAUCUGGUCAGCCCUUUACUUUUUCUAUGAUCAGUUGCAUUUUUACCUCAGUGUUCACACAUUAAUGUUUAUUGUUUUAUAUUUUUAUUCUUAUAUUUGUGGUACAGACCAAAGAUAAGGUCAUUUUAUUUAUUGUAUUUUGCUACUAUUGUUUUUACAAACUUAACUGCGGGUUAUGCUGACUGUUUAGUAGUAGUAGGGAUAGUACUUUUCUGAGGCUGCUCCCUUCCCCCAGGUGCGCUGAGGCUGAUUGGACACACCUGUCUCUGCUCUGCAAUCAAGCCUGCAGAGACUUACCUCAGCUCCAUAGUACUGCCAGCUACUCACCAGUGGGCCUCUCUCCGUGCCUUACCACAGCCCUCUCACUCCGGAGCCCUCACUACCCCCUACACGUGGAACCCCCUCCUUUCACUGAAAUUGUUAACCAAUAAAAACCAAUAAUCUGUUAAA